Molecule: transfer RNA, 77 nt
Filed under: Clostridia bacterium
Lineage: Bacteria; Bacillati; Bacillota; Clostridia
Also listed under: 1 other name
Description: tRNA-Val
Rfam family: tRNA
About the family: Transfer RNA (tRNA) molecules are approximately 80 nucleotides in length. Their secondary structure includes four short double-helical elements and three loops (D, anti-codon, and T loops).
Source: RNAcentral
GGACGCAUAGCUCAGCUGGUCAGAGCGUUCGCUUCACACGCGAGAGGUCUUGGGUUCGAGCCCCAAUGUGUCCACCA